Molecule: ribosomal RNA, 254 nt
Filed under: uncultured bacterium
Lineage: Bacteria
Description: partial 16S ribosomal RNA
Rfam family: Bacterial small subunit ribosomal RNA
Source: RNAcentral
UACAGAGGUCCCAAGCGUUGUUCGGAUUCAUUGGGCGUAAAGGGUGCGUAGGUGGCGCCGUAAGUGGGGUGUGAAAUUUCGGAGCUUAACUCCGAAACUGCAUUCCAUACUGCGGUGCUUGAGGACUGGAGAGGAGACUGGAAUUUACGGUGUAGCAGUGAAAUGCGUAGAUAUCGCUUGGAACGCCGAAGGUGAAAACAGGCUGCUGGGGUUGUGCCGACGCUGAGACACGAAAGCCAGGGGAGCAAACGGGG